Molecule: long non-coding RNA, 730 nt
Filed under: Mytilus galloprovincialis (Mediterranean mussel)
Lineage: Eukaryota; Metazoa; Mollusca; Bivalvia; Mytilida; Mytilidae
Source: RNAcentral
UUUGUUUUCUUGGCCUGCUGGUUAAUCUUUCUUUUUAGGUUUGUUUGUGAGUAUAAGUCAGCCUGUGUCUUUGUCAAAGGUAAUGUCUCUGUGUAUGUCUUAGCUACUGUCUAUGUCACUGUGUGUGUCUCUGUCUGUGUAAAAGGUACUGUCACUGUGUGUGUCUUAGGUACUGUCUGUGUCACUGAGUGUGUCUCUGUCUGUGUCAUAGGUCCUGUCACUGUGUGUGUCUUAUGUACUGUCUGUGUCACUGUGUGUGUCGUAGGUACUGUCUGUGUCACUGUGUGUGUCGUAGGUCUAGGUCACUGUGUGUCUGUACUGGUGUUUUGUGUACUCUGUGUGUGUGUGUCGUAGGUAUGUCUGGGUCACUGUAUGUGUCUUAGGUACUGUCUGUGUGCUGUGUGUCGUAGGUCUGUCUGUGUCACUGUGUGUGUCGUAGGUACUGUCUGGGUCACUGUGUGUGUCUUAGGUACUGUCUGGGUCACUGUGUGUGUCUAAGGUACUGUCUGGGUCACUGUGUGCGUCUUAGGUACUGUCUGUGUCACUGUGUGUGUCUUAGGUACUGUCUGUGUCACUGUGUGUGUUUCUGUAUGUGUCAUCAGAACAGUAAGAGUGUCUGUCACAGGUGCUGUCAAUAUGUAUCUGAAAGGUCUUAUCAGUUCGUCUGUAACAGGUUUCGUCAGUGCGUGUGUCAAUGGUGUAGUAUUUGAUGGAAAAAUUAUGCUUGUAA